Molecule: non-coding RNA, 8065 nt
Organism: Myodes glareolus (Bank vole)
Lineage: Eukaryota; Metazoa; Chordata; Mammalia; Rodentia; Cricetidae
Source: RefSeq, a predicted model, not a curated record
CCUGCAGUACACAGACAGGGGCGUCAGCACUCAGCGCCGCUGCGCAAAGACGGCUGCCCAGCACCCCCGGGGCUCUAGGUCCAUCCCAGGUUCCCUGGCCACUCAGGGUCAGCUCCGUUAGCAGCAUCGCGAGUGAGUACAGCAAGGACGCACAACAGCUGGUCUGAGUGAGCCACCUGGUACCCAGGAGGACGACAGCGGGGCAGAGGGGUUCCGUGGAAAGGCCCCGCUGCCAUACCCACGUGCUAAGGGAGGGGCAUGGAAGCCACGUCUAGUGGUACAGGUGUUUAAGGCAAUAACACACGUCAUCUCAGCCUUUCCCAGAAAACUCACGUUCCUGUGAACUCAAAAGUCACAACGUCCUCAUGACAUCGAAUACAUGUUAGAUAAGCAAGACCUGCCCAGAGGAAGUGACCCUUUUAUCCCAGCCAGCAAGGGUAGGAGGCUGCAGGCUUAAAUGGUCCACUGCCUGACCAGAACUCCUUGUCCCCAGUGUGAGAGGAAGCCAGAGAUUCAAGGACAUGCAAAAAGUCGCCAUAGCGAUGAGUCAGCCCAAGGCCCAGCAAACACGGGGCAUGCUCCUUGGCUCUUGGCUCCUUCACAACCCAUAAGCCCACCCUCACAGCUCCAUCUGCUGGUUCCUGUUCCUCCCCCACCUCCCUGCUUUAGCUUCUUUCCUUCAUUCUGUAUCUACCCUCAACCCUUCACCUUCUUAAUGGGUCACAACAUAAAACAGAAACAACGAAAAGUGCGUAAGUUAGCAUCCAGUGUUUCUAGUGGCCUGUUCUUGAUGUUCAAAAUCAGGUAAGUAACACUUUACAGGUCUCUUCCGUUUCUCAAAAAACAUGGCUUUCAUUAGGUCACUGGCUCUACCAUGACCAAAUAUUUGUGUUAAUUUGGGGGGGGGAGAAUCUGCCCAGUCAUCUUCUUUACAUCUCUUCCAUUACGUAAUGAAAAGUCUCCCGGUAAGGAAAACACUAUUUCACUCCUGCUAUUUGACCAAUAGGUGACGUGACUCCAUCUGAUGGGAAAAUACGCCCGGGUCUAAUAGGCUUCCCUUCUGGAUGCACAGUUAAAUACACAGCUACCAAGUUCGUCAGCUACCUUUGUCUAUAAGAUAGACACUUGUGUUUCCACAUUCUUUGAGGCAAAUUUGGAGUGGAGGAAUUCACAUAGUAUUCCCAACAUGCAUCACGUUUGAGUUCUAAGCACAGCGAGACACUUUUCGAUCUCAUACUCUGCAGGGCACUAUAAUGGGCACUAUACUGGUAGAUGGGGGGGGCUGUCAAUGCAACUAAUUUCAAUCAUUCUUUUUAAUGACCACUGGAAGGGAGAGACAGCCAACAUGUCGUCACCUUACAAAAGUGCUAGCAAAUUUCAGAUACUGACACCAUCUUCUCACUUUUUGUACGCUGAACCAAGAUUUAGGCCCCCCAAACAAAGGCAUAGUAAUCCGGUCAGCUCCCCAGGAAGGAGUCAACUUGCUCCCAACUUCCUGCAACUCUCAGGCUCCAUUCCAAACUUACUCGUCCAACAGCACCAAGUAUGGUUGCUCCCUUGCAUUCUUCGCAGGCUCGGCCUGUCCUCGCCGUGCAUGGACGGCUCACCCAGUCCACUCUAGGAGGGGAUGCCCAGGGAGUGGGCACAGCAGUGCCUGUUCAGCACAGCCCGGGCUGGGAAGUGGUCACGGGGGCGGGGGCGGGGGAGCGCGGAGGAGCAGUGUUCUAGGUGGUUCUUCCCACUGCAGGCACAGUACCCUUCCUCACUCAGUGCAUCAAACGUCCUUCUCUCCAGUGGACCACUGAGAAUUCAGCUCCCACAAAGUCCCCGAAAGCUAACUGCACCAAAUCCAGGCAUUCCAAUCAGUGCCAACACACUCAAGAUGAUUCUUUUUACAAACUUUCCCACACUUCAGUGUUGUCUACCCUGUGCCGUUAGUCCUGUGAGAACAGAAUUCGCGUUUUAUCUUUUCAAGUACAAAGCCGUGUCUUCUCCAUAUGGGCUGACUGAUAUCUAACCUAAGAUUUCCGAAUAAGGCAGGCUUUGAUGUCACACAGCAAGCCAGGGUUUGCAGGACAGCACAGACGUGAAAGAUUCACACGGAACUGUCACUCGACAUGGCAAUCCCGUGUAUUCAGACUGUGUUAUCAAUCACACCAGAAGGCCAUGCAGAUACUCACCUGUCCUUGGGGAAGGGGUUCACUUUGCAAGCUUCCAGCAAAAACUUAACCACUUCCACAUGACCUACAGCCCCCAACACACAAAAGGAGAUUUUAGUUUGGAGAAGAAUUGAAGUCUGUAAAAACCGUAGCAGCAAGCGGUCCGCGCAUUACCCUCGGCGGCAGCCACGUGGAGGGCCGUUCUGGAGUCGUAGUCCCGCUGCUCCAUGUCCAUGGCCGACAGGGCAAACCUGAAAGUCCGGAACAGCCGUUCAGUACAGGAGGUCAGGUUAACCCGGUGGUAACAGUUACUCCAUCUGUUCAGGCCAGGCCGCACAUUCAGAUCCCACGCUCUCCCAGCUCCACUAAUGGUACCCAGCUCAGCCCGCACAAAUGGUGAACACGUGGGUGAAUGCCAUGUGACCGCUCCUCCUCAGCUACUUUCAAGUGAGAUGCCCACUAGCUGCCGCUCCCAGAACUAAGCUUCAUCCCAUCAUGAUGCCAACCCAGGAGCAGCCCCCAAGAGGCAAAAGCGCCCACAGUAAAGCUGGGUGUUUCCAGCAGGGCUCCCCUUCUUUGCCUACACUGCCUGGAGUUACCCGUGCUGCUAAGGCUUUAAAACAGCAUGGAAAUCAACUUAGCUCCGAAAGGGAACUCGCGCUCGGUAUUCAGUGGCCCACGGCCUUUCUAAUCCUGGUAACAUGCGACACCGAUCACCUGCGUCCUGCCUCACCAGAGAUCCAUUACAGCGAACCACCAGCCCCAGAGAGCUGGGCUUCUAUGGAAGGACAAGAAGCAGGUCCGAGACACCGGAAGUGGGGGGCCGGUCUAAGUGGAAGUGGGGUACUUUGUAUCUUAUUUGGUGACUUGUAUUACAAGUAUGAGUGAGACCUUAAGACCUUCCAACACCUAAAGCCACGGCGCAUCCACCCAGCGAGCAUACCUCCGGAGGGCAGACACAUCUCCAGUAUACGCAGCGAACAGAAGGUUUAUUACCGACUUUACCUGCGAACAAAGAAGAGACAGGCAUUUGCGGGAGAAGGCAAACACGGCCGCUGCCACGUAGUUCCGUGGGCUUUGAACUUCAGCUGUGCUGGUCAAUAUUAUCUCGGGUGCAUACCUAAAGAACACACACGGACUUUUCUUUUACCAGGACUGUGGAAAAGUCUAGAACGCUGACACAGACUGACGCUCCUAGCACUGCCAUCUGCAGUUAGAACGGCCUGGAAAACCUCACACAGCAUGUCUCGCUGCUGCGAAUCCGUGUGCACAUGGGUAAAGGACGCAUCGCAUGCUGAAACCACUCAGGCUACAUAAAUGUGUCAUCCCCGGCAGCAUUACUGUCCCCACUGGUUACCGACUGCUUGGCAAAUCGGAGACAGAAGCAGGAAAAGUGGUAGAAAACGGGUCCCAUUAGUCUCUUGGUAACUGAUGGUUCUGCUGAGUUAUGAGUCACCACUCAUGAACGCGGUGCUUGUCACGUUCAGAAGAAGGCGUAAGUCAUUGGAACGAGUUGGAGACCGUUGUUGAGUCACACCACAAGAUGCCCUGAACCAAGGGUCCUCUGCAGGAGCCAUCUCUCCAGCCCAGGACCAGCUCCAUCCCCAGCUCCCCUCUGCUGCAAGCUGAACAAUUCUUAAGACUACUGUUUCCCACUGUCUGCACCCACUCAGUUUCUCUUUCAUUAGCUUCUUUUGUACUUUCAGCAGGCAAAGGCCAGGGUGAAGAACCCCACCGACGACCCUGAAACAGCAGACAGGAAUGACUCCAUUGGCCAUAUCAAGGCCAUCUCCACAGCUCCCUCAGUCUUACUCAAAACACCAACUUCUCUUCCCUUCAGUUCCUGCCUCAGACCACAGUACUGUUAACUGAGUGUUUCUUCACGGGCCCACGCAGGCAGUUUUCUGGCUCUGCUGCUAGGGUCUUUGCUCCUAGCGUCUUUAUUUCCCUCCUGCGCCGGCUCCCUUAUGUCCGCCAUCAUACACACAAAAACCCUUCACUCGGUAUUUGGCCCUACAGUUUUUCCCUUUCAGUCAGUCUUUUCUGAAUACGUUUUUGACUCCCCUGAGAAUCACCCUCACAUUCUGUUACCAGGAUUCCCCAAGUUCCCGUGCCUUCCCUCUCUCACGACACUGCAGCGCCCUGAACGCCCUUCUCUUGACUGCUAUGCCCACUCUCCACGGCCUUGUCGUCCUUUAGAGGCCCUCACUAUCCUGUCUAUAGCACUGUCUCCCUCAGAUGCGUUCACAGGUUCUUCUAGUCAGAAUGACUUCCCCAUCUAGACCUUUAAGCUCAAAAGUCCCAAUUCUAACUCUAUCAUUCAUUAUAAAUUAUACCUAAUUUCUAACUCAUUGACUCCACCUGACUGUCCAGCUGACAUUUCACAUUCAAAAUCAGAGUCAGGCCUGAGUCCUGGGUCCGCCUGCUGACUGACCAGCGCCAAGAUAUAAAACAGGCAUGUCACCUUCACGUCCGAAUAGAUCUUGGUUUGUGCUGCUUUCCUCUCCUCCAGGAUCUCCUAGCCCAGCAUGACACAGAUUCAGGUCUUGUUCAUUCUAAAUCCCUGAUGCUGAUGGUCCACAACUGAGAGUUGAUGCUCCACAGGGAGGGCUGACUGAAGCUAAAGAGGGUAGCCAGCACCAGCCCCUUUCACCCAAGUGCCCCUGCUGAAGUGGGGGAGGCUCCUUUACCCGGGGGAACUGAGAGCGUCUGCCACACACUCCCCAAGUCUGUGCUUACCAUCCGUACCCAGAUUACCCCUCUAACACCGCUGCUCUCGGCCUACCUAGGCCACAGCCUUACCUCAGGAGGACAGCAACGGCCUGGCCUACCUCUUCCCGCUAACUCCUACCGCAGGACACCAGAACGGCAGUGCAUUCGUCACCUCCACCUUACCUACCAACUUCCACUCUGCCAGGGCAUGCGGGACUCAAAGGUUCCAUCCCCUGGUGACGCUGCAUGCCAGCUGCAUGCCAUUCUCUAUGAACUCCUACCUGACGGCUUUGCCCCACCAGGAAGUUUUUGCUCAUUAUGCAGUCAAAGCCUCCACUUCUCCCAGGAACGUUUCCCACAGUGAGGAGACCCUUUUGCAAUACCCAGGUCACCUCCUGAGGACUCAGCCUGUCUUCCCUUCACUCCUCACCCCCCCCCUUCAUUUUCCUUCCCAGGGGAACUAUUAUUACCUGACCCCCAACUUUUUUUUAAUCAUCUUUGUUCCAUUACAUAUAAACUCCAUAUGAGCAGAAGCCUCAUUUUCUUUCCUGUGACCUGAGUCCCUCGUGUAUCCUAAAGUGGCCCUUAGUACUAACUAAAUGAACACUCUCCUGCUAAGCAUCUAACAUUCGCUGUUACCACUGCCUGGAGCCCAGAAGCAUUAGCCCGGCACUCAAGGUUCUUCAGUCUUGCUAAUCCGUUUUUCCCUCUCAAUUUCAACACAACAAAGCUGUCUCACUCACAAGGCCCUUGUUCCCGCUCCUGCUUGUGUUGGGCGGCUCUGUUCUCACACUGAAGCCAUUCAGACUCCUGCCUGCCUGCACCGCGUGUACCAGGACCCAUGGGGAGAUGUGUUUCCCUACAACCUGAACACAGUCUGCUCCUCAGUCACAGGGCGUGGGCUCUGAGUACCAGCCCCCCAUCCAUUUCUCAAUGAGAUGUCACUGGUGCCCCACUGGAAACACACUAAUCCACUAUGUGCCUGUUUGUCCCCUUACGGCACUGUCACAUAAGACUCUAUGGUGUAUUUCCUUUUAACCCCAGAUUCUGGUGUACAUAGCAAUAUUGUCUUACGCACGUCCUUAAUGGCUACCUUUUCUAAGUAGUAAAAGUCCUCAUGUGUCUUAGUUACUGUACACAUUAACUACAUGCCUUUGUCCUGGGGUGGGCUUGCUUGUCCUCAGUGCUGGGGCCUGAACUCAGGGCCUUGAACUCUUGAGGAAGGUGUUCUGCAAGCCCUUGACUUUUAAGAUCCCAAAUUUAGAGCAAGCAUCUUUGAAGAUAAUUUCUGUGCCUUGACUAAAAGAAGGGCCGAAAGGCACGUUCUUAUAAGGCUUGGGACAGGCUUGCCUCACAAUAUAAUUAGCCUAUUUGAGGUUCACUGACAGGUGAUCCUCAAGUAUGUUUCAGUUCAGAUAAAUACAAAUUGAAAUUAAAUGAGAAAGCAAUGAGAAUAUACAGCAAUUCUGUGGUAAACAGGAGGGACGCCAGCUCGCCUUAACAAAACCGACUAAAGGGUACCUAAUCGUGGAAGUUUAUUAUUCUCAUUAAAACAAAAGGCCUGAAUUUGGCCCAAAUCAGUAAAAAAGGUUUGCUCACAAAGCGUCUCUCAGACAGAAGGCACUAGAAGGUAUCACGUGUCUGGGUAACACGUAACAAUAAAUCACAAAUGCCUCAGUUUUAGAGUCCCUACCGGAAGCCCUGGCUGGCUCUGAACUCGCAUCCUCCCAUUCAGCCUGUGGGCUCCUGGGAUUACAGGGACGUGCCAUCUACACCCUACGCCACCUAGGUUUCGUUUAUGUAAUUCAUGGAAUGAGGUUGGGUAGAAAUAAGCAGCUUCAAAGACAAAAGAGGGGCAUUAUUUACUCGGGGACAGCCCUUUUCCUACGCGGUUCAGUUAAACUGAAACCCUACAGAAGGGCCAUGGUGAGGAAGCUGAAGGGAAGGCCUCCUGCGAUGCUCUAAUCUCAGCGGCCGGCCAGGUCAACCCUGAGGACAUGGCCAUGCUAACGCUCAGAGGCUCUUCCCAACCUCCCUCUCCUCUGACACCAGAGGUUCAGAAAACAGUAGGUUGCUUCACAGUGACUGCCAGAGGAUUCCUUAGUAACGUAAACACAGAGCAAACAGGGCAGGAGCAGGAACAUCUGUAAAUCCAGGGCUCUGACGUUGAGUGCGUCCCUCCCCACAGUGAAAACCCCUUUAGGACCUGUAGGCACCAAAAGCUCACAAAUUCAAGGCUGAGUUCCCGUGUUGUGCACGCUUUCCAGUGCAAUUUUCCUUAUCUCGUUUUUAUCAGAAUUUGCCAGAACCAGACCUUAGUUUAUUUGUACAAAGUCACAGCAGUGGUAGAAAAAUGUUGCAGUUCACUUGAGUUCACCUGACUCUGGCAUCCUGGGCAGGCCCGGGCUUACUUUUCCUGCCAUAGCUGUGCGCAUGCGUGCAUGCGUGUGUGUUUUCCUAAGCUUUCGACCUAAAAUAUGACAGAAAGCCUAACAUUCCAACGCCGUCAACUUGUUCUUUUGAAUUCUAGAAGGUUCAGUUGUGACUUCUGUUUCUCCAAUACCCUGCUAAUUGCGCUGUCAGUAAUAAUUAUUGAAUGGAUCCUGCUGAGUUUAAGCAGUGGGUAAAUUAGGAUAAAUUCAACAUUUACGGUUAUUUUGGGAUCCCUGACAGGCCAGAUUAAAAUAUGUAGAUUGCUACGUUUUAUUUAUUAAAUGCCACAAAGACGAAGAGCCUUGGCUUGAGGUCACAGGACACAAUCAGUGACUGGGUCCAGAUCGGGCAUCUGUGUUCUCAAUUCUAUACUUGACCAGGACACAGAACUCGAGACACCUUAAAUUCUUAGCCGAAGACGAGAAGGACACCGAACAAGUUAGUUCUAACUCCUAAUGGACCUCUGCUAGCCUGUCACCAGCUGGAAACUGUGGGCUCUUGAUUCUUCUUCCUCGGCUGGUCUCUACAUAAGACCCAGUUGUUAGACGGCUCUAAUGAAAACCUUAAACAGGUGACUGACUACAAGGCUGUCCUGUCUGACCGGCCUGUUCUCCGUUUCUGCUCCCUGCAGUAUCUGUUGCAUGGAAUGGAUACUUCGCCUGCUAAAUAAACCAUCGUGACUGCAGAUCCUAUUUUGUUUUAAAAGUCUCCCUCAAAAAAUUCUCAGUAACGUGUAAUCGAGAAGACUUGCUUUAAAAUGA